Molecule: non-coding RNA, 1440 nt
Organism: Rattus norvegicus (Norway rat)
Lineage: Eukaryota; Metazoa; Chordata; Mammalia; Rodentia; Muridae
Source: RefSeq, a predicted model, not a curated record
UCUGCCUGUUUCUUUCUGUCUCUGUCUCUCUGUCUCUCUCUCAUACACACACACACACAGAGAGAGACAAAGAGAGAGAGAGGGACAGAGAGAGACACACACAGAGAGACACAGAGAGAGAGAGGGACACACAGAGAGAAGCACAGAAUGGGGAUAGGAGUGUGGGAUGGAGGAACAAGGAGGAAAGCCCAAUACGACUGAAGGAGAACAGGGAAGAAGGAUGGGCUAAGGGAGGAAAAGGGAAAGAAGAAAGGCAAGCAUAUGUAAAUGGUGUGUGGAUGUUCUGGGGCUCCCCAAAACCAUGGAGAGAGCUCCAAACUCCAAGGCAGUGUCUGAUUGCAGGAAAUGGAGGCUAGGUAUAGAUGAGGGUUCAAAAAGUAACAUGAAUCCAGGGACCCUGUUGUGCCCAUAGCUACCUGGGCUGACUCUGCUUCUCUACGGUGGUAGGAGGAUAUGUGGUAGGAGGAACCAUUAGCAGGUUGCCCACAUAUCUUCACCAACACAGCUCACUACUAUCAGAGAUCUCCUCCUCACUCUGAAAAACAUGGCUUCCAUAGGAAAUCCAAGUGUGCACUUUAUGUGUGAGGUGUGUGUUGGGUUGCAGCUGUAGUAGUCACAGGUGUAACAGAAGAUAAAAAGUUACAACUCAUAGAGGUACCCGGGGUCCUUUAGAUAAAGAAAACAAACAUAUACUCAGAAACCGUGUGGGAACAGAGUGGGGAGAAGUGUUAGGUUACAACAGAUCAGGAAUUCCUACUGAGUGAUGGACAAGUCCAAGGAGAUCCUUAUGGGUUGGUAUUCAGGUCUCAAGAAGCAGAGAGUAGCUGAGGUGCAGCAUUUUUCUUAUGACAUAUUACCCUCUCAAGAUAAGGAUCAUACACAAUCUGUUAUUUCAGCAGACAUUUAUUAGGGGUGUUCUCAGCUGAGCCACGAGCAAGCUGUGAAAGACGGCCUAUGUGUAUAAUCUCUAUGCCUUCAUGGUGCCAUACCCAUGAGUGGAGAGUCUCAGUCCAGUGAAAUUGAGAACCCUUUGUGGUCUUCGGCAUGAAGGCCAUUCCUAUGACUCACUCUGGGAGAUCCACCUCUGGCCUGCAGUACCUACGGUAGUAGGUUGUCACCAGGAUGCCUGGUGGCAGCUUCUUCCUCUCUCUACACUGAUCAGGGCUCACCAGUAUGAUACUUUAAACAUGAGAUGAACAAGGGCAGAAUAUAUGGUAAACUGAACAGAGACAGCCCAUGAGGCCUUAGCCCUACACAAGAGACUACGGGCAACUAUAGAAUGCUGAGAGUGGAAGUAAUACCUGGUGCAGUGAAGAGCACACAGAUUGGUUGUCUGGCCAUAACCCCCCUAUCCCAUCCCACUCCCCUUCUUCUAUAAGGGUGUUCACCCUACCCCUCACCACCUACACACCCCGACAUUCCACUACACUGCAGUGUCCA